Molecule: long non-coding RNA, 581 nt
Organism: Zophobas morio
Lineage: Eukaryota; Metazoa; Arthropoda; Insecta; Coleoptera; Tenebrionidae
Exons: 4
Source: RefSeq, a predicted model, not a curated record
UUCGUGUCUAUAGCAAAAAAAGGAAAGAAGAUUCAAACACCGAGAAAAAUACCAACCAAUCUACAAGUUCUCUGACCUCAGAAGGUAACAACAAUGUACCUACCUCGCACGCAGAAGGGGAAAGUUCAGUAACAGAAGAUACUACAUAUGAAACAGGGAAUGAAAAUCGCAGGAAUCAAAGACAACUUACUUUAUCUUCAAAGAGAAAAAAACGAGUAGUGAACAUUGGACUCCUGAAUUGGAAUAUUAAAAGGUCAACUUAUAAAACAAACAAAACAUGUGAAGAUGUUCCUCUGUCUAACGAUCAGCAAUAUGCGAACGCAAGGUAACGAGCAUUAUUAUUAAUACUACUUUUUUUUAAUUUGAAGUAAUUUUAUGCAAAACUAUUUCUCCUAGAGAUACUUUGGUCACGAGUAAUAUAUAUGAAUUUGAUGAACCAGACGAAGAGUCACCACCGAAUCAAACAAUCAUUCAGCAUGAGUAAUAAUUAUUUACUAUACAUAAUAACAAAUGUGUGCAAUCCUUAUUUUUAUUUUUAAGGGAGCCUAUCACUGAUUUAGAAAAUAUGGUUGUCGAACAAA